Molecule: ribosomal RNA, 460 nt
Filed under: uncultured bacterium
Lineage: Bacteria
Description: partial 16S ribosomal RNA
Rfam family: Bacterial small subunit ribosomal RNA
Source: RNAcentral
CCUACGGGAGGCAGCAGUGAGGAAUAUUGGUCAAUGGGCGUAAGCCUGAACCAGCCAAGUAGCGUGAGGGAUGAAGGUUCUAUGGAUCGUAAACCUCUUUUAUAAGGGAAUAAAGUGCGGGACGUGUCCCGUUUUGUAUGUACCUUAUGAAUAAGGAUCGGCUAACUCCGUGCCAGCAGCCGCGGUAAUACGGAGGAUCCGAGCGUUAUCCGGAUUUAUUGGGUUUAAAGGGUGCGUAGGCGGCCUUUUAAGUCAGCGGUGAAAGUCUGUGGCUCAACCAUAGAAUUGCCGCUGAAACUGGGAGGAUUGAGUAUGUUUGAGGCAGGAGGAAUGCGUGGUGUAGCGGUGGAAUGCUUAGAUAUCACGCAGAACCCCGAUUGCGAAGGCAGCCUGCCAAGCCAUGACUGACGCUGAUGCACGAAAGCGUGGGGAUCAAACAGGAUUAGAUACCCCAGUAGUC